Cervus elaphus (red deer) is the source of this 381-nucleotide long non-coding RNA. RefSeq lists it as uncharacterized. Lineage: Eukaryota; Metazoa; Chordata; Mammalia; Artiodactyla; Cervidae. The record is from RefSeq and is a predicted model, not a curated record. The transcript has 3 exons.
UCGUCACACCAACCUGAAGAGGAAGACCGGUUGGAUUUCAGAGCACGAGGACCAGUCUGGAAUGACCAUGGGUGUUGGAGCCCAUGGUGGGGACUGCAGAGGUUGGCAGGGUCCAGAUGUAGCUACAGCAGCAUAAAGACCAAGUAUGUUUAAUGAAAAUACUUCUGAUUCAGGUGCUGGAGUAACUGAUUAAAAGAAGAAUUAAAAGACAACUAGUCCUCCACCCCCACGACUCCCUUAGCAAUCCUGCAGGCAGAUCAGACGGGCAGGAUAACACCUGGAGAGAGAGUUACACACGACGGAGAAGGACACGCAACCCAACCUCCUGCCUCCAUGAUUCACUGAGCUUCUUCCCGCUUUUUUCCCCUUUACAAACUGUCA